AAGUCGAGCGGCAAGGGGGAGCAAUCCUCCNUAGAGCGGCGGACUGGUGAGUAACGCGUGGGUGACCUACCUUGAGGAUGGGGAUAGCCAUUAGAAAUAGUGGGUAAUACCGAAUACGGUUGUCUGGCUGUGGUUAGACAAAGAAAGGCGCUUAGGCGCCGCCUUAAGAUGGGCCCGCGUUCCAUUAGGUAGUUGGUGGGGUAAGGGCCUACCAAGCCUGAGAUGGGUAGCCGGCCUGAGAGGGUGAACGGCCACACUGGGACUGAGAUACGGCCCAGACUCCUACGGGAGGCAGCAGCUAAGAAUAUUCCGCAAUGGACGAAAGUCUGACGGGGCGACGCCGCGUGGAUGAGGAAGGCCGAAAGGUUGUAAAAUCCUUUUGCCGGUGAAGAAUAAGCGGGGGAGGGAAUGCCCCUGUGAUGACGUUAGCUGGUGAAUAAGCCCCGGCUAAUUACGUGCCAGCAGCCGCGGUAACACGUAAGGGGCGAGCGUUGUUCGGAAUUAUUGGGCGUAAAGGGCGCGUAGGCGGUUUUGCAAGCCUGGCGUGAAAUGGCAGGGCUUAACCCUGUCACGGCGCUGGGAACUGUGUAACUAGAGUCAUGGAGGGGGAGUUGGAAUUCCUGGUGUAGGGGUGAAAUCUGUAGAUAUCAGGAAGAACACCGGUGGCGAAGGCGAAC
Molecule: ribosomal RNA, 677 nt
Filed under: uncultured spirochete
Lineage: Bacteria; Pseudomonadati; Spirochaetota; Spirochaetia; Spirochaetales
Description: bacterial SSU rRNA
Rfam family: Bacterial small subunit ribosomal RNA
Source: RNAcentral